This 497-nucleotide ribosomal RNA is filed under the name uncultured bacterium. RNAcentral describes it as "partial 16S ribosomal RNA". It matches the Rfam family "Bacterial small subunit ribosomal RNA", at positions 28 to 507 of the family's 1533-position model. The record is from RNAcentral.
GAUGAACGCUGGCGGCGUGCCUAAUACAUGCAAGUCGAGCGAACGGACGAGAAGCUUGCUUCUCUGAUGUUAGCGGCGGACGGGUGAGUAACACGUGGAUAACCUACCUAUAAGACUGGGAUAACUUCGGGAAACCGGAGCUAAUACCGGAUAAUAUUUUGAACCGCAUGGUUCAAAAGUGAAAGACGGUCUUGCUGUCACUUAUAGAUGGAUCCGCGCUGCAUUAGCUAGUUGGUAAGGUAACGGCUUACCAAGGCAACGAUGCAUAGCCGACCUGAGAGGGUGAUCGGCCACACUGGAACUGAGACACGGUCCAGACUCCUACGUGAGGCAGCAGUAGGGAAUCUUCCGCAAAGGGCGAAAGCCUGACGGAGCAACGCCGCGUGAGUGAUGAAGGUCUUCGGAUCGUAAAACUCUGUUAUUAGGGAAGAACAUAUGUGUAAGUAACUGUGCACAUCUUGACGGUACCUAAUCAGAAAGCCACGGCUAACUACGUG